This 460-nucleotide ribosomal RNA is filed under the name uncultured bacterium. RNAcentral's name for it is "partial 16S ribosomal RNA". It matches the Rfam family "Bacterial small subunit ribosomal RNA", at positions 338 to 795 of the family's 1533-position model. The record is from RNAcentral.
CCUACGGGUGGCAGCAGUGAGGAAUAUUGGUCAAUGGACGAGAGUCUGAACCAGCCAAGUAGCGUGAAGGAUGACUGCCCUAUGGGUUGUAAACUUCUUUUAUAUGGGAAUAAAACGUUCCACGUGUGGGAUUUUGUAUGUACCAUAUGAAUAAGGAUCGGCUAACUCCGUGCCAGCAGCCGCGGUAAUACGGAGGAUCCGAGCGUUAUCCGGAUUUAUUGGGUUUAAAGGGAGCGUAGGUGGAUUGUUAAGUCAGUUGUGAAAGUUUGCGGCUCAACCGUAAAAUUGCAGUUGAAACUGGCAGUCUUGAGUACAGUAGAGGUGGGCGGAAUUCGUGGUGUAGCGGUGAAAUGCUUAGAUAUCACGAAGAACUCCGAUUGCGAAGGCAGUUCACUGGACUGCAACUGACACUGAGGCUCGAAGGUGUGGGUAUCAAACAGGAUUAGAUACCCCAGUAGUC